This 406-nucleotide ribosomal RNA is filed under the name uncultured bacterium. RNAcentral's name for it is "partial 16S ribosomal RNA". It matches the Rfam family "Bacterial small subunit ribosomal RNA", at positions 30 to 526 of the family's 1533-position model. The record is from RNAcentral.
AUUGAACGCUGGCGGCAGGCCUAACACAUGCAAGUCGAACGAGUGGCGGACGGGUGAGUAAUGUCUGGGAAACUUCCCGAUGGCGGGGGAUAUCUCCUGUAAACGGUAGCUCAUACCGCAUACCCUCGGAUGUGCCCAGAUGGGAUUAGCUAGUAGGUGGGGUAACGGCUCACCUAGGCGACGAUCCCUAGCUGGUCUGAGAGGAUGACCAGCCACACUGGAACUGAGACACGGUCCAGACUCCUACGGGAGGCAGCAGUGGGGAAUAUUGCACAAUGGGCGAAAGCCUGAUGCAGCCAUGCCGCGUGUAUGAAGAAGGCCUUCGGGUUGUAAAGUACUUUCAGCGAGGAGGCGUUACUCGCAGAAGAAGCACCGGCUAACUCCGUGCCAGCAGCCGCGGUAAUAC